This is a long non-coding RNA of Wyeomyia smithii (pitcher-plant mosquito), 1722 nucleotides long. RefSeq lists it as uncharacterized. The transcript has 8 exons. NCBI's taxonomy places the organism in Eukaryota, Metazoa, Arthropoda, Insecta, Diptera, Culicidae. The record is from RefSeq and is a predicted model, not a curated record.
GGUGUCAGCGUCUGUUCAGUCUCAGUGUUGUUCCGCGAUUUCAGCUCCCAGUGUUAUUCCGUUUGUUGCCUCUAUUUACCAAGUUUAUUAAGUUUACAUUGAAAUAAAUUAAGUUUUCGUGAUGCAAGGGACAUUACGGAAUUGCGUUGCUCGACUGUUCAUCAGCGAUCAAGGCGAUCAACAAAGAAAUCUGCUGCUGCUCCAGAUAAUUAGUUUGUUUCCAUUACUUUGGCAAACGUGUAUAUUUCAAUAAUGAUAAUAAUUCUGGGGACGGCGGAAAAGAAAAUAAACCAUCGAUGCUACCAGAAAGCAGCCGUACGGAGAGUGAUGUCAUCAGUUUUGACAUAUUAUAAAAGAGAACUGAACAAAGCAGAAUAAUACGCAUAAAAGUUAGAAUGUCAGAGUGUAUCAAACAUGAAAAAGUUGUAAUGAAUUACAUAUACAUAUACUGCCGCUCUUCGGCAAGUGGAGACAACGUCGAUUGAAUUUUUUGUUUAAUUUUCGGUUAUUUUGUGUCGGCAUGGCUUGUUCUAGACAUUACUUCUGUGUGGUACAAACCGUCGAAGCCAGUAAGCCAGUGGUAACUGUGGUUCCGCAUCAAUGGAUUGACGGGAAAUUUCUUCUCUGGCCUCCUAAAAAACCCGAUCGCCUAAGAAAAACGGCGUCUUCAAAACCAGAAUCUAACUAAGUACUUCAACGACGUUUGUUACCAUCGAAAACACGUCUGCGUUAAGUGUUGAUAAUUUGGUUUGCGAACCCAUAGAAGGAUUCGAAACAGAGCAACCAAUUGCUACUUCUUAUACGCUACCUGGUCCCAGUACUGCAAUUAUACACCGGAGUGAAGAUCGUGCAUUUGACCCACUAUUUGACCGCGAUGAACAUGUAACAAUGAACGACGUUAUGCAAAAGAUUGACAUGGCAAAAAACGAAAUUAUUUCUACUGUGCAGCAGACGAUGGAAAGUUUGGUCACCAGAACUAUAUCAGUUAUAAAAAGUGACUUCGACACUAAAAUCCUGCAUUUGCAAAAUUCAAUACGGCCCACAAGCGUUGUAUCAAAGAACUUUUCAUUUUCAUUAGUUUGCACUAUCGAACAAUUACAAGAGCUGGAUUCGAAGCUCGAAGAUCAUCUAUAUACAGAAAACGUGAAAAAAUAUAUGAUGGACAAGAUAAGCAAUGUUGCAGAUACAGUCAAUGGGCAAAAUACAUGCUACGAGCUUGUUGAUCAUUUUUUUGAUCGAAAGCUAAUGUUGAAAUGUUCAUGGACCGGUGCAAGCAAAAAUGAAAACCCAAAAUGUGCACUACGUUUGUAUAAAAACGUUCUCAACACAUUUUUCGAAAUCGUCAAGGGUAUCAAUUCAAUUGCUUUAACGUCAAAUUGAUGGAACAUUUUUUCAAGUCAGUCACGAGAAAUUCUAAGAAGCGUUGUGAAGCCAAGGGGUUGCGCUGCUCGACCGUUCACCGGAGAUAAAAAAAAAAGAUCACUUCCGUUGCAAUUGCUGAAUGUAUGAUCACUGAUGAUGCGGGAAAAGAGAACGAAACCGCUUUGCUACAAGCAAACAGCGACACAGAAGAGGAAAGUGAUAGUGAAGAUUGAGCAUCUGUUACGUUUUCGCCUAGUUUUAAGUAAUCUUUUAUUAAUUAAUUAUUUUAUGCUAAGCUUGAUCUGUAAUUCGUUAUUCUGUAUGUAAGUUAAGAGUAGAAGCAGGACAAAAAAGAUUCAA